RNAcentral lists this ribosomal RNA (434 nucleotides) under uncultured bacterium. RNAcentral describes it as "partial 16S ribosomal RNA". It matches the Rfam family "Bacterial small subunit ribosomal RNA", at positions 28 to 506 of the family's 1533-position model. The record is from RNAcentral.
AGCGAACGCUGGCGGCAGGCUUAACACAUGCAAGUCGAGCGGGCACUUUCGGGUGUCAGCGGCGGACGGGUGAGUAACGCGUGGGAACGUGCCCUCUGGUUCGGAAUAACUCAGGGAAACUUGAGCUAAUACCGGAUACGCCCUUUUGGGGAAAGGCUUGCUGCCGGAGGAUCGGCCCGCGUCUGAUUAGCUAGUUGGUGAGGUAACGGCUCACCAAGGCGACGAUCAGUAGCUGGUCUGAGAGGAUGAUCAGCCACACUGGGCCUGAGACACGGCCCAGCCUCCUCCGGGGGGAGGAGGGGGGGAGUAUUGACAAAUGGGCGAAGGCCUGUCCCGCCCAUGCGGGGGAAGUGGGGAAGGCCUAGGGGUUUAAAAGCUUUUUUAUCCGGAACGAUAAUAACGGUACCGGAGGAAAAAGCCCCGGCUAAUUUGGU